Molecule: ribosomal RNA, 253 nt
Filed under: uncultured bacterium
Lineage: Bacteria
Description: partial 16S ribosomal RNA
Rfam family: Bacterial small subunit ribosomal RNA
Source: RNAcentral
UACGUAGGGGGCAAGAGUUAUCCGGAUUUACUGGGUGUAAAGGGAGCGUAGACGGGGAUGUAAGUCUGGAGUGAAAGCCCGGUGCUCAACCCCGGGACUGCGUUGGAAACUGUGUUGCUAGAGUGCAGGAGAGGUAAGUGGAAUUCCUAGUGUAGCGGUGAAAUGCGUAGAUAUUAGGAGGAACACCAGUGGCGAAGGCGUCUUACUGGACUGUAGCUGACGUUGAGGCUCGAAAGCGUGGGGAGCAAACACG